UCGGUAACGAAGAAUACUUGGA
This 22-nucleotide microRNA is filed under the name Schmidtea mediterranea. Its description in RNAcentral is "sme-miR-2158-3p". Lineage: Eukaryota; Metazoa; Platyhelminthes; Tricladida; Dugesiidae. The record is from miRBase by way of RNAcentral.